AUUGAACGCUGGCGGCAGGCUUAAUACAUGCAAGUCGAGCGGGGAGAUGUAGCUUGCUACCUUUCCUAGCGGCGGACGGGUGAGUAAUGCUUAGGAAUUUGCCUAUUAGUGGGGGGCCACCUUCCGAAAGGAAUGCUAAUUCCGCAUACGCCCUACGGGGGAAAGCAGGGGAUUUUUGGACCCUGCGCUAAUAGAUGAGCCUAAGUCAGAUUAGCUAGUUGGUGGGGUAAAGGCCUACCAAGGCGACGAUUUGUAGCGGGUUUGAGAGGAUGAUUCGCCCCCCUGGGACUGAGACACGGCCCCGACUCCUUCGGGAGGCAGCCGUGGGGAAUAUUGGACAAUGGGCGAAAGCCUGAUCCAGCCCUGCCGCGUGUGUGAAGAAGGCCUUUUGGUUGUAAAGCCCUUUUAGCGAGGAGGAGGCUACCGAGAUUAAUACUUUUGGAUAGUGGACCU
This 453-nucleotide ribosomal RNA is filed under the name uncultured bacterium. RNAcentral's name for it is "bacterial SSU rRNA". It matches the Rfam family "Bacterial small subunit ribosomal RNA", at positions 30 to 479 of the family's 1533-position model. The record is from RNAcentral.